AGCUGCAGAAAGUAAGCUAUCAUAGCAAUCUCUCAUGUCCUUCAUGUCCUGAGAAGCCUGAGCAAGUUCAUCAAAGGGAGCCAAAGGGCGAAGAUCUCUUCGGUCCUUGUGAUCAACAUGGCGAAGACCGAACCCUCGCAAUUUCCUGAGAGAGGUCUUCAUUUGGUUUCCUUUCCUUUCUGAGAGAAGAAAUGAGCAGAAAGAAACUAUGAAGAAGAAGAAGAAGAAGAAGAAGAAGAAGAAAAAAUGAUGGAGAAGCUGAAAUUGGAAGGAACUACUAUAAAUCAAUCAAAUGCCAAUAUCUUCC
RNAcentral lists this unclassified non-coding RNA (307 nucleotides) under Hevea brasiliensis (rubber tree). Lineage: Eukaryota; Viridiplantae; Streptophyta; Magnoliopsida; Malpighiales; Euphorbiaceae. The record is from RNAcentral.